GCUCCCGUAGCUCAGUCUGGUUAGAGCACGUGGCUCUUAACCACGGUGUCGCCGGUUCAAAUCCGGUCGGGGGCA
RNAcentral lists this transfer RNA (75 nucleotides) under Candidatus Pacearchaeota archaeon. RNAcentral's name for it is "tRNA-Lys". It matches the Rfam family "tRNA". Rfam says of the family: Transfer RNA (tRNA) molecules are approximately 80 nucleotides in length. Their secondary structure includes four short double-helical elements and three loops (D, anti-codon, and T loops). Further hydrogen bonds mediate the characteristic L-shaped molecular structure. tRNAs have two regions of fundamental functional importance: the anti-codon, which is responsible for specific mRNA codon recognition, and the 3' end, to which the tRNAs corresponding amino acid is attached (by aminoacyl-tRNA synthetases). tRNAs cope with the degeneracy of the genetic code in two manners: having more than one tRNA (with a specific anti-codon) for a particular amino acid; and 'wobble' base-pairing, i.e. permitting non-standard base-pairing at the 3rd anti-codon position. Lineage: Archaea; Nanobdellati. The record is from RNAcentral.